GUGCUCACCAGGAGCAGCAGCAGCACUCCAGGCAUCCAACUACAAACUGGGUUAAAAAUUAUGGUGUGCUCAGAAGAAUUAAUGUCUCGGAAAAACAAACAGGAUUUUCUGAAGUGAGUGGGAUAAUCAUAAACUAGACUCAAAUGGCAAGUGUUUCUGUGAGCACUGAGUGACACACUGAGCCAGCCCUCGGGGAUUUCUGCACUUCAGCUGCUCCCUGCCUGCCCUCACAGAGCUGCACAAGACAUCCAGCCCUGCCAGCUGCAAUUUCCCUGCAUUUUAAAGGGCUUCAAUCUGAGCUCUCUUUUAAGUUCCUUCUCUCCUGGACCUUUCUGGACAGCAAAGGACACCUGGGGAUCCACCAGCACCGGGAAACUGCUCUUGAUUUUCCCAGGUACACUCCUGUUGUACAUCCCUUCUAUUUCUGUUUGUUUGCACCAGCACUAAACCUCUUCCCCCUUGAAAUCUGCUAUUUCUUUAGCUCUUUCCUGUUACCUCUCAUUUGGCAUAAAAUGUGGGGCUAAGGGGCACUGGAAAAGCCAAACUUUGCUUUUUGCAGUCUGCAAAAAAAGAUAUUUUGCCUCUUCUCCAGCCUAAAAGGUCAGGGUGUCACCACUUUUCUCCCCAGUCUUUUGGAGCUGAUUGAUUGGAAGAGAAGCAGCCCCAAAACUUUGACAGAUGGAUGAAUGGAAGUGCUGAGUCUGUGUUGUCAGUGAGGGCCAGGGUCAAUGUUGCAGCCUUAUGGUAUUGAAACCCUGGGAUUUUUCUUUUUUUGGUGCAAACACAUCCACCUAGAAGGGGCCUUUCCUCACAGGAAAUUUGGGGGUGGGUAUGAAGCAAUCACAGCUCCAAGGCUGACAGAGCUCCAGGAACAUUUGGACAACUCUCUCUGACACAGGCUGGGAUUUUGGGCUGUCUGUGCAGGGCCAGGAGCUGGAGUGAAUUCUGCCUGUGGGUCCUUUCCCUCUGAGGAUAUUCCAUGAUUUUAUAAUGGGGCAGCCAAGAAAGCCAAGGAGUUCAAUUCCAGUCCCAAACUGGAGAAUUUGACUUAUUUUCUUCCUUAGAUCAAAUCAGAUGACCCAGAAACACGGCAAGAGACAGUAAGAACGCUGCCACUUAGGAGUUCUUCUCUCCCACAAACACAUGGCUCCUGCUGGAAAAUAAUUUGAGAAAAAUUAGCACAGGACAUUAUGCAUGGCACUGUCUGAUCUCAGAGAGGAAAGGGUUUGGGAGAAGGAAGAGUUUGCAUUUGUGAGGCUGCUGGGAGUGCUGGCAAACCCACGUGGUUUGCAAAUUCCUCUCAUGUUCAGUUAAAUCAGCUCUUGGCCUCUUUGGUGCCUGACAAGAAAUGUUCUGUCAGGAAGGCAC
This 1368-nucleotide long non-coding RNA is filed under the name Cyanistes caeruleus (blue tit). RNAcentral's name for it is "lncRNA (ENSCCEG00000008150.1)". The record is from RNAcentral. Lineage: Eukaryota; Metazoa; Chordata; Aves; Passeriformes; Paridae.